GGGAAACCAAGCCAGUCCCCCCACCACACACACCCAUAGCCGCCUCCCUUUCUGUCUCUCUCACACUCACACACUCCAUAAUAGACCGUGCUUCCUUCAUUUCUUGUUCGAGCUCACCACUAUAGCAACCUCACCAUGGAAACACUAGUGCAUGGUUAUAAAUCUUUAUAGUAAAUGUAGUGUUCAAAAAACAAUUAUCGCGUCCACACUAGUGGUAGUUAAACAGAUAGUUGGCCUGUUUAAUAUUCCUAAGUGGCAUAGUGUAGGACGAGAUUUUACUGCAGAAAUGGUCAGAAAUUGAUGUCAUGUUUCAUAUUUUAAUUCAUAUUACCUUUUACAGAUUUCUAGCAGUUUUGUGCAUGUUGCAUAUAAAAGCAGUAGUGAAACCAAGUACAUUACUUAUUCAGUAAGUCCACCUUCAUGAUUUCUGGCUCCUAUCUUGGUCCUUUGAAGAAUUUAGGACUGAUAUUGGUACUGAGCAAAAAUACAUUUUUGGAUAGGACAGGAACUUUAUUUUCCCUGUAGAGAAACUAUUUUUUGGUGGAUAAAACAUGUUUGGUGUGACAAUACAGGCAAACACAUAAAACAUUUCGACCUUUAACAUUCCUUUAAAAAAUGUUGUCUAUGUAGUUUCCACCAGUUGUUCAGUCAGUGUCCUCCAGAUAGGCAGGUUUGAAGUUCCUCAAUGGCUGGCUUAUUCUGAUGCAUAAACAUGUUUAACAUUUAAUCUUUUUCAUAUUUCUCAGAGGAUGUACAUCUGUUAGAGAUUUUCCUGUGGACUAGCGAUGAUUGAGAUAAAUCACUUCCCAUUACAAACACACAGCAACCAGCAAACUGGCCAACCAACCUCCUUAAAUUGUACUGGACCUAUUAAGGUUAAGUGCCAUGCUAAAGGAAAGCUACUCAUAAUUAGGUAACAGUUCUGCAUCUUUAAUGACCAUGGUUACAAGGUUACUAUGUAACCUGCCAGAAGCAAAGGGCUUGUCUGGGAUUGGGAGUAGAGCCUAGUUUCACCUAAAGCAAGAAUAACUCGUCCUAUAGAAAAGAGCCAUGGCAGCUGACACAUUCAUUUGGGCUGGUGUGUGUAUCUUAACUUGAUGAAAAUAAGGAUCAGAGAAUAAGUAGCAGAAUUAGUGAUGUUUUUCACCAUAAAGGAUAGUGCUGAGUUGCAUUUAGCCACUGCUGAAAGCAUUCAAAGUUUAAGUAAAAAAGCUUUUUAUAUGGGGGUGGUAUGUGACUCAGCAGGAUAGGACACCAUAACUGUGAUUGGAAGGUCACUGGUUGAAGUCCCAGGCACGAUAUAGUGUGAUUUUGCCGUUGAACCAACAAGCAAGGCCCUUAACUGCCAGUUUCUCCAGGUACUGACACUGUCUUCUCAAUUACAUGUCGCUUUAGAUAAAAGCAUCUGGUAAAAUCAUAUAAAUGGAGCUCAAAGUCAUGCUUUUUUUACAUUUACACCUCAUAAUAAUUUGCAAUAAAUAUAUUUUGAAAAGUUAAAAAUAAAGUUGUGAAUGAUGCUAAGGCAGUGAAAGGAAUCAUUACUGUAAGAGAGAAAGCAUGCUUUUAAAGGUGAGACUACAAGAGAGAAAGCAUGCUUUUAAAGGUGAGACUACAAGAGAGAAAGCAUGCUUUUAAAGGUGAGGAGACUACAAGAGAGAAAGCAUGCUUUUAAAGGUGAGGAGACUACAAGAGAGAAAGCAUGCUUUUAAAGGUGAGGAGACUACAAGAGAGAAAGCAUGCUUUUAAAGGUGAGGAGACUACAAGAGAGAAAACAUGCUUUUAAAGGUGAGGAGACUACGAGAGAAAGCAUGCUUUUAAAGGUGAGACUACAAGAGAGAAAGCAUGCUUGUAAAGGUGAGACUACAAGAGAAAAGAAUUCGUCUUUUGCCAAGGGAGUUUAUUUUGUAUGUAUGACAUGUUACAUGCUACAGAAAAUAAAGUGAAUUUGCCUUCA
This is a non-coding RNA of Paramormyrops kingsleyae, 1954 nucleotides long. The record is from RefSeq and is a predicted model, not a curated record. NCBI's taxonomy places the organism in Eukaryota, Metazoa, Chordata, Actinopteri, Osteoglossiformes, Mormyridae.